CCUACGGGCGGCAGCAGUGGGGAAUUUUGGACAAUGGGCGCAAGCCUGAUCCAGCUAUUCCGCGUGUGGGAUGACGGCCCUCGGGUUGUAAACCACUUUAGUUGAGAAAGAAAUGGAGUUAUCGAAUAAAUAGCUCUGCUGACGGUACUCUAAGAGUAAGCACCGGCUAACUACGUGCCGGCAGCCGCGGUAAUACGUAGGGUGCGAGCGUUAAUCGGAUUUACGGUGCUUAAAGGGUGUGCGGGCGGGUGAGUAAGACAGAUGUGAAAUCCCCGGGCUUAACCUGGGAAGCGCAGAUGUGACUGCUUGGCUAGAGUGCGGCAGAGGGAGGUGGAAUUCCACGUGUAGCAGUGAAAUGCGUAGAUAUGUGGAAGAACACCGAUGGCGAAGGCAGCCUCCUGGGACGCAACUGACGCUCAUACACGAAAGCGUGGGUAGCAAACAGGAUUAGAUACCCCAGUAGUC
RNAcentral lists this ribosomal RNA (465 nucleotides) under uncultured bacterium. Its description in RNAcentral is "partial 16S ribosomal RNA". It matches the Rfam family "Bacterial small subunit ribosomal RNA", at positions 338 to 795 of the family's 1533-position model. The record is from RNAcentral.